CCUACGGGCGGCUGCAGUGAGGAAUAUUGGUCAAUGGACGAGAGUCUGAACCAGCCAAGUAGCGUGAAGGAUGACUGCCCUAUGGGUUGUAAACUUCUUUUAUAUGGGAAUAAAAUGUUCCACGUGUGGGAUUUUGUAUGUACCAUAUGAAUAAGGAUCGGCUAACCUCGUUCCAUCAGCCGCGGUAAUACGGAGGGUCCGAGCGUUAUCCGGAUUUAUUGGGUUUAAAGGGAGCGUAGGUGGAUUGUUAAGUCAGUUGUGAAAGUUUGCGGCUCAACCGUAAAAUUGCAGUUGAAACUGGCAGUCUUGAGUACAGUAGAGGUGGGCGGAAUUCGUGGUGUAGCGGUGAAAUGCUUAGAUAUCACGAAGAACUCCGAUUGCGAAGGCAGCUCACUGGACUGCAACUGACACUGAGGCUCGAAAGUGUGGGUAUCAAACAGGAUUAGAUACCCCAGUAGUC
Molecule: ribosomal RNA, 460 nt
Filed under: uncultured bacterium
Lineage: Bacteria
Description: partial 16S ribosomal RNA
Rfam family: Bacterial small subunit ribosomal RNA
Source: RNAcentral